GCUAUAUUCUGGAAUACCCCCUGCUAAUUAACCAAUUGGCGUAUAGAAAUACAUGUAGAGAAGUAAAUUGAUCCGUUAGGGUCAGAAGUCCAAAGCCCAGAUGACCUUGAUUUCGACGUGGCCGCCGUCGAUGCCGAACCGCUGCACCUCAUCCUGUCCGGCGGGUUCGGGGCGGAAACGAGCAACGAUGGGUUCAGGGAGGGGAUGACCCUCGGCCUUCGCCGUGUGGUUAGAAGAAGCGACCGAGGUGUGCAGGGCGGCCUCUAUGAGGAGCAGCGAGGUGAGUGGCACCGCAACGACGGACCGCGACAGGGGGACGACGUGGGAGCCGUCGCCGCCGGUGACGACAGCCACUUUCUCCUCCGCGUCCUGGCAGAAGAGCACGCUCCGGGCACGGAGAUCUUGGUAGCCAGCGGUGAUCCUGCCAUGGACGAGGAUGAUGCCGUCGCCUUGGCCGGCGAGCAGGAUGAGCCUGACCUGCACGGUGGCUUCGACCGCGUUGCUCAGCACCGCGUAGGUCACGUCAACGGGCCCAUGGCUGGUG
RNAcentral lists this unclassified non-coding RNA (544 nucleotides) under Zea mays. RNAcentral describes it as "misc RNA Zm00001eb091970". Lineage: Eukaryota; Viridiplantae; Streptophyta; Magnoliopsida; Poales; Poaceae. The record is from RNAcentral.